Portunus trituberculatus (swimming crab) is the source of this 473-nucleotide long non-coding RNA. RefSeq lists it as uncharacterized. Lineage: Eukaryota; Metazoa; Arthropoda; Malacostraca; Decapoda; Portunidae. The record is from RefSeq and is a predicted model, not a curated record. The transcript has 5 exons.
GAGGAGGUGAAGCGGAAAGCAGUGUGGGGCAUUGGAACGAUUUCUUCUGUAGACGUUGUGCAGCAGUGUAUACAAGGAAGAAGGUCGGGUCAUGCCGGCCACCCAGUACAUGUUAUAGUCCAUCUCCAGGUCGUUCUCCUCAAAAGAGGACGCAGACCGCGGAGGCGUGUGGUCCGGCACAGAUCCUGCCACUACUGAAGGGAGAACCAAACCUGCGGCAGGAAACUGACUCCUCUUGCACUGGAAGACUCAAACUAGUGCAAGACUCAAAACUCAAUGCACCUUCCAUGGAGGAAUUGGAUCCUAACUCGCACUAGUCUGACCUGACAACACCAGGCAUCAUCCAAGGAGGGAGGACACCUGCCUCGCUGCGCUUUCCUUGAUCUUGAUAUUGAUACUAUAGGCGACUCGGGAUCACUCCUGAGCCGGGCCUUUGGAUCGGCAGCUCCUGUAGACGACAAAAAAAAAAAAAA